RNAcentral lists this ribosomal RNA (253 nucleotides) under uncultured bacterium. RNAcentral describes it as "partial 16S ribosomal RNA". It matches the Rfam family "Bacterial small subunit ribosomal RNA", at positions 524 to 776 of the family's 1533-position model. The record is from RNAcentral.
UACGGAGGGUGCAAGCGUUAUCCGGAUUUAUUGGGUUUAAAGGGUCCGUAGGCGGAUCAGUAAGUCAGUGGUGAAAUCUCAUAGCUUAACUAUGAAACUGCCAUUGAUACUGCUGGUCUUGAGUAAGGUAGAAGUAGCUGGAAUAAGUAGUGUAGCGGUGAAAUGCAUAGAUAUUACUUAGAACACCAAUUGCGAAGGCAGGUUACUAUGUCUUAACUGACGCUGAUGGACGAAAGCGUGGGGAGCGAACAGG